This 5621-nucleotide long non-coding RNA is filed under the name Sus scrofa (pig). Its description in RNAcentral is "lncRNA (ENSSSCG00045030836.1)". The record is from RNAcentral. Lineage: Eukaryota; Metazoa; Chordata; Mammalia; Artiodactyla; Suidae.
UUUUUUUUUUUUUUUUUUUUUAGUAGCAAAUCCGGCUUCAGUCCUUUAGCAAUGGAGACACGAAAGCUUGACGCCAGCUGAUGCCCAUUCCACCACCCACUUUUGUCACUGGUGGGCAAAGAGAUUCUCAGUGUUGAAAAGGCACUUGGCCUUGGGAGUUUCACUGAAUGAAGGCAGGGUUUUCAUGUCUGUGGCAGCAUGGGCAGGGGGAAGGUGGAGGCAGCCUAGGCUGGAGGGGGAGCAUCACUGGCUUGAGAGCCAGGAUGCUGGGGUCUGGUCCUGCUCGACCUUGUGACGUGUGCCCCUCUCUGGGCCUAGCAUCUUCAUCCAUGAGUUGGCUUGCUGUACACGUAUAUCCAGUGCCUUUUCUGGGCUGGGCCCUGAGCUGGGUCUUAAAGCCUGAGUAGGACAAGGGGGAAGGGACAUUCAGGUUGUGGGACCAGUAAAUAUGGAGGCUUGAAAGUUCUGGAAGAAGUGGGAGAUUUGAGGUACCUUUGUCUGGAGCUAGAACACAAUGUAAAUAUUUCCUCCAGGUCUCAGAAAACUCUUUGCUGGAGUUACCUGGUGGCUCAGUGGGUUAAGGAUCAGGCAUUGUCACUGCUGUGGCUUGGGUUGUGGGUUCAGUCCCUGGCCUUGGAAGUCCCACAUGCCACAGGCAUGGCCAAAAAAGGGAGAAAAUGCUUUGCUUUCUUCUUCUUCUUUUUUUUUUUUUUUUUUUUUUUACAGUUCCCUUUGGGACCCAGCUCUUUAUUUGUGCUUCCUAAAUUGAAAAUCCUUUCUUUUAUGGAAGAUUUGAAUCAAAGUUUAGUUCCUUUUUUUUUUUCAAUAAACUUUUUGAUGAUGGCUAUUCCUUCUUUUUAAUUACUUAAUGAAUUUUAUUACAUUUAUAGUUGUACAAUGAUCAUCACAACCCAAUUUUAUAGCAUUUCCAUCCCAAAUCCCCAGUGCAUCCCCCCACCCCCCAACCUGUCUCAUUUGGAAACCAUAAGUUUUUCAAAGUCUGUGAAUCAGUAUCUGUUCUGCAAAGAAGUUCUUGUGUCUUUUUUUUAAGAUUCCACAUGUAGGUGAUAGCAUAUGAUGUUGGUGUCUUGCCAUCUGAUUGACUUCGCUUAUUUAGCAUGAUAAUUUCUAUGUCCAUCCAUGUUGCUGCAAGUGCCGUUAUUUCUUUCCUUUUAAUGGCUUAGUAAUAUUCCAUUGUGUCUAUGUACCACAUCUUUAUCCACUCCUCUGUUGAUUGACAUUUAGGUUUUUUCCAUGUCUUGGCUGUUGUAUAUAGUGCUGCAGUGAACCCUGGAGUACAUGUAUCUUUUUGAGUCAUGGUUUUCUCUGGGUAGAUGCCCAGGUCUUUGCUUUCUUUUAAAUGAAAUCUGAUGUUUUAUGUAGAGAUUCUGAGGUAGGGAGGGACAAUGCAGACAUAUUCUGUUUAAUGUCAUAUUAAUAUUUUGUAUUAAACCUACCUGUAUUAAUACCAACUCAUUCAUGUUAACACCUUAUUUCAUUGUUACAAUGUGACUGUGAUAAUAUAAUCAUAGGAAAUCUUCAUGCACCUCUUCCUGUGGGUCAGUGCAUGUAUUUGCUGGAGCUGCCCUGUCAAAAUACCAUAGACUAGGCAGCUUAAACAACAGAAAUUAAUUUCCCCACAGUUCUGGAGGCCAGAAGUCCAAGAUCAAGGCGUCAUUAGGUUUGGUUUCUCACGAGGCCUCUCUCUUUGACUUCAGAGGGGCUGCCUUCAUGCUUGUCUUCAUAUGGCAGUGCCUCUGUGUGCACCCCUGGUGUCUCUCUGUGUGUCUGGAGUGCCUCUUGAUAAGGACAGCGGCCUCCUUUUCUAAUUACUUAAUUACCUCUUCAAUGACCCUCUCUCCAAAUACAGUCUCAUUCUGAGGUGCUAGGAUUAGGACUUCAGCAUAUAAAUUUUGGGGAGACACAGUUCAGCCCAGAGCAGCCAGGCACAUGGCAAAGCACUUUAGGUUGCCUCAUUUUAUCCUCACAGUAGUCCUGGGAGGGAGCUGCUAUUAUCACCCCCAUUUUACAAAUGAUGAAACUGAGGCUCAGAGAAGUUGGGUCACUUGCAGAUGCUCACACAGCUGCUCAUGAUGGAGCAGGAGUUUGAUUCCAGGCUGCCUUGGAAUGCCCCCCCACCCUCCGCCACCCCAUAUUUGUUAAUGUUUAUAUUUGACAGGAAUCCUAGGGAGGCCUUUUUUUUUUUUUUUUUUAACCUCUCAAAAGCUAUUGAACGUACCCAAUGUUUCCUCAUUGCCUCUCUGUACUCUGCCUUGUCCUUGUUUUAGGUGUGAUUGGAAAAGACCCAGAAAGGGAGGGAAGGCCCUUGCCAGACGCCAGUGCUGCCCCAGCUCGCCUGGGCCCUCGCAGGCCCAUUGGCCAUCUUCCCAGGAGGGGUGUGCCGGGGGCCGCCUGCUCCCUGCUCUGCUCCCAACCGCCUGUGUUUGCUGAGAGCAGCCUGGGCCCGGUGAAAGCAGCCUUUGUCCUCCAGUCCAUUCCUCCCAGAUGGGUGACCUAAGUCCCAGCUUGGGAACAAAGCGGCGCCCUGCCAUGUGAGUGCAGGUCAGCCCCAGUGGCCUGCAGAGUCUCCCAGACUAGGCUGGCAGGGGCAGUGGGGGUGGCCUUGGCUACGGGGCUGCAGAGUUAAGUGGGGUCCAGAAGGCAACAGAGCCCUCCUGGGUCCUCAGUGGUGAUGCCAGGGGCUCCUCUGAGCACAGGAUUUUACAGUUCAUGGAGUUCUUCCAUGCUUUCUGGGUUGGUGGAGCCUUGGAGAGGCAGGUAACAGUUGUCACAGGGAAGCACCUCAAAGCAUAGGGGUACAAGUCAACCCCUAUUUACUGGACUCAUAAUAUUUGCUGGGUCAGGAAACUGGGCAGGGCUCUGUGGGGACAGCUGCUCCGUGAUAUGUGGGGUGUCAGCUGGGAGCCCUAAGCAGCUGGGGCUGGAGGCUUCUUCACACACUUGUCUGGUGCCUCUGACAACCUGGAGGCCCAGCUUUCUGGGGCUGCUGUCCAGGCACCUGCUGUAGCUUGGGCUUCCUCACAGCGUGGUGGCUCAGGGCUCCCAGUGCUAAGAGGACAGAUUCUGCAUCACCCUUUAUGAUGGAUGCAGCAUCAGGCAUCUGCUGCUAUUCUCUGUUGAUGGAAGCAUCACAGGCCCCCCGAGAUUCAGAGGGAGAGGACAUGGACCCCACCUCUCAAUGAGAGGAGUGUCAAAGAAUCCAUGUUUCAAAGCUGCCACGGCCAGAAGUAAAAGUAAAAUUACAAGGUGACAUUUACUGAGCACUUACAAUGGGCCAGGCCCUGUGCCAAGGGCUUCCCGUGGGUGAACGAACCUACAUAAACCUCCCCAUAGCUCCAGGGAGCACUAGAUGCACAGCCGGAUGUUUUCCUGACAAGCUUUUGGCCUGAGAGGGUGGAGGAUCCCAGGGAAAUGAACAGGCUGCCAUUCGGCUGGUGUUGAAAAUGCCACGGUCGGAAGCUGUGGGCUGAUUACUCCUCUAAACUUAGAAUAUUCCUUGAGUUCUUGAAAAUUCUCACUGAGCCGUCUGAUUCAUCUCCUUCUCACUCACCACUUCUCCCCUUUGGUGUUUGUGUCAAGUGGUUUCUCUCCCCUGGGUGCCGAUUUCCCCCCCAUCGCCCCCACUCUGCAGAUCAUGGGGAGGGUGCCUCACUUUUGAGGAACCAGCAGCAGGGGCCUCACGGUUCUGAUGAAGGAGCUGAGGCAUCCCUCAGCCCUGUGCGCGCACCAGCUUUGCUGUGCCUCUGGGGCCAGGCCCGCCCAGGGCUCCUUCAUCUGCCUCCCAAGGGCCUGACAUAUAAUAGGUACCCAAUAUAUGUUUGGAGACUCGAACCCCAAAACAGUGAGUGAAGGAUGACAGUUGGCUCUUGAAGGAUGGAAAUUCUCUCCUGUGCAUCUCUGCACCCUUGGUACACAGUAGGCACUCAAUACAUGUUCAUUGUGCCAAAGGAAGGAAGAAGGAAGAACUGGGCGAGUGAGACCACAAGCAGCGACUGGGCCUUACUGUUUUAUCCUUAUCACGUGACUAAGUGCUUGCGGCCCAUUCAUUCUGUGGGCAGACGAUGAAUGAGCGAUCCAGCAACCUCUCCAGGAGGAUGUGUCUUCUUUCACAUCUCUGUCCACAGCCAGGCAUACAGCAGUGCUCAGUAUUGCCUGCGAAGCUGAAUGAAAGAAAGAGGGAAUGAAGGAAUGACUCAGUGAAACUUCCCAUCAUCAGAGCCUUGUGCACCUCUGUCUCUCCAGUUCCCAGCACAGAGUCUUGGCCUACAGUAGGUGCUCAUUCAAUGCUGAGCCGAGUGAAGGAAUGAAUGACUGAAUGGAUGACUGAAUGGAUGACUGAAAAGUGAAACUUCUUGAGGGUUGGGACGUGUCUUAUUUGUUCCCCCAGUUCCUAGAAUGGAACUUGCACACAGUAGGUGCUCAGUAAAUGUCUCUUGCACUGAACGUGUGGAUGAGUACGUAAAAGUAGACUUCUGGAAGAUAGAGCCUGUAUCUUGUUCGUUUGCCUCUUUCCUCGGGUGCUCAUACAGGGCCAGGCAUACAGAAGAUGCCUAGCAAAUGCUUCCUGUUCUGCCCCAACCUUUGUGGGGGCGUCCGUCCACUCCUGAGAAUGGGCUGAGAGGGGAAGGCGGGUGGACCUCACCCUUCUCUAUCAGCCGCCUCCCAGCCCCGGGCCUUGCGGCAGGCUUCCUGUUGUUCCCCUCCUCACAGGUGGACAGGAAGUCCCCGGAGGCCUGUCGGAGGGCUGCUUCCCAUAUUUUCUUCAUGCCGGGCUGGCCCUGGUGGGACCCAGGCGCCACAGUGUGCCCUAGCGCCGGCUGGCUGAAGAGCCGUGCCCCCCAGGGACCAGGCUUCCUGACCACAUUAGCAGUUCUAUUUUGGAGCCUACCAGGCCGUUUGUGCACAAGGCAGGUGAAGCCUGGAAGAAUGUUCUAUGUGGAGCCAUCCCUGAAAACCCCCUUGUUCUGAUGCCGGCCAGGCCUGUAAAGCUCCUCACAGCUGAGCAGCAGGAACAGAGCCAAGAGUCAAGGCUUUGGGGUCUGAGAGAGCAGGGUUCAAAUCUACUUCUAUGGUUUUAAGCUGAGCCUUGGUUUUCUCAUCUGUAAAAUGGGUGUUAUAGGACCACCCCCACUCCCCGCACAGGGAUCCUUUUCUCCAAUCUUGGCUACAUAUCUGUUGCUCUUUCAGAUUCUCCUUGCUGAAACUGCGCACUCCCAGAGUUAGGAUUUCAGUAGAUUCCCAGCAAAUGUGUUUAAAGAACUGUCGCCCCAGUUGAUUCCAAGGGGUGGCAUCUCAGGCUGGUUCUGGAGACAAGGAUCCACGUGUUGUGACUUAAGGACAGAGAGCUUGGGUCGGCCCGAUCCCUGGAGGAGUUCUGAGAGUCAGUAGCACCAUGGAAUAAGCCCACCUUGGAGAAACAGGGCAGCCAUUCCUCCAAUGGCCAAGGUCUGCUGUUGGAGAAGCGGGGGCUGUGAGCUAUGGCAGCCAGCACCCCUGGCCCCAGGUCGGGGGGGCCCAGCUAGGACCAGGGGUCUGGGUGCAGCAUUUUCCAUGGUUGGUCAGUCGGCCUGAGAGAGUUCUUGACUCAAGGCAGUGAGACA